Molecule: ribosomal RNA, 451 nt
Filed under: uncultured bacterium
Lineage: Bacteria
Description: bacterial SSU rRNA
Rfam family: Bacterial small subunit ribosomal RNA
Source: RNAcentral
ACUCCUACGGGAGGCAGCAGUGGGGAAUCUUGGACAAUGGGGGCAACCCUGAUCCAGCCAUGCCGCGUGAGUGAUGAAGGCCUUAGGGUCGUAAAGCUCUUUCGCCUGUGAUGAUAAUGACAGUAGCAGGUAAAGAAACCCCGGCUAACUCCGUGCCAGCAGCCGCGGUAAUACGGAGGGGGUUAGCGUUGUUCGGAAUUACUGGGGCGUAAAGCGCGCGUAGGCGGACUAUUAAGUCAGGGGUGAAAUCCCGGGGGCUCAACCCCGGAACUGCCUUUGAUACUGGUAGUCUUGAGUUCGAGAGAGGUGAGUGGAAUUCCGAGUGUAGAGGUGAAAUUCGUAGAUAUUCGGAGGAACACCGAGUGGCGAAGGCGGCUCACUGGCUCGAUACUGACGCUGAGGUGCGAAAGUGUGGGGAGCAAACAGGAUUAGAUACCCUGGUAGGAUAGCG